AGCGCAGGCGGGAAGACAAGUUGGAAGUGAAAUCUAUGGGCUCAACCCAUAAACUGCUUUCAAAACUGUUUUUCUUGAGUAGUGCAGAGGUAGGCGGAAUUCCCGGUGUAGCGGUGGAAUGCGUAGAUAUCGGGAGGAACACCAGUGGCGAAGGCGGCCUACUGGGCACCAACUGACGCUGAGGCUCGAAAGCAUGGGUAGCGAACAG
This 208-nucleotide ribosomal RNA is filed under the name uncultured bacterium. Its description in RNAcentral is "partial 16S ribosomal RNA". It matches the Rfam family "Bacterial small subunit ribosomal RNA", at positions 568 to 775 of the family's 1533-position model. The record is from RNAcentral.